CCCUUAGAUGUUCUGGGCCGCACGCGCGCUACACUGAUGCAUUCAGCGAGUCCAUCCUUGCCCGAAAGGGCUGGGUAAUCUUUUGAAAUUGCAUCGUGAUGGGGCUUGCGGGUUGCAACUACCCGCACCAACGAGGAAUUCCUAGUAAACGCAAGUCAACAACUUGCAUUGAUUACGUCCCUGCCCUUUGUACACACCGCCCGUCGCUACUACCGAUUGAACGGUUUAGUGAGGGCCUCGGAUUGGUCUCGGCCCGCUCUUUACCGGGCGGCGCCGUUGGUCGAGAAGACACUCGAACUUGAUCGUUUAGAGGAAGUAAAAGUCGUAACA
Molecule: ribosomal RNA, 330 nt
Filed under: uncultured eukaryote
Lineage: Eukaryota
Description: partial 18S ribosomal RNA
Rfam family: Eukaryotic small subunit ribosomal RNA
Source: RNAcentral